GGAGUCUGCAACCCGACUCCAUGAAGCUGGAUUCGCUAGUAAUCGCGCAUCAGCCAUGGCGCGGUGAAUACGUUCCCGGGCCCUGUACACACCGCCCGUCACACCAUGAGAGUUGGGGAUACCCGAAGCCUGUGAGCCAACAGUUUACUGAGGCAGCAGUCGAAGGUAGAAUCAAUGAUUGGGGUGAAGUCGUAACAAGGUAGC
Molecule: ribosomal RNA, 204 nt
Filed under: uncultured bacterium
Lineage: Bacteria
Description: partial 16S ribosomal RNA
Rfam family: Bacterial small subunit ribosomal RNA
Source: RNAcentral